This 255-nucleotide ribosomal RNA is filed under the name uncultured bacterium. RNAcentral describes it as "partial 16S ribosomal RNA". It matches the Rfam family "Bacterial small subunit ribosomal RNA", at positions 524 to 776 of the family's 1533-position model. The record is from RNAcentral.
GACAGAGGGUGCAAACGUUUGUUCGGAAUUACUGGGCGUAAAGCGAGUGUAGGCGGUUCGAUAAGUCGGAUGUGAAAGCCCCGGGCUCAACCCGGGAAGUGCACUCGAUACUGUCGAGCUAGAGUAUCGGAGAGGUUGGUGGAAUUCUCGGUGUAGAGGUGAAAUUCGUAGAUAUCGAGAGGAACACCGGUGGCGAAGGCGGCCAACUGGACGAAUACUGACGCUGAGACUCGAAAGCGUGGGGGAGCAAACAGG